GGGAAUGUGGCUCAGUGGUAGAGUGCUUGCUUAGCAUGCAUGAAGCCCUGGGUUUGAGUCCUCAGCACCA
Molecule: non-coding RNA, 70 nt
Organism: Dipodomys ordii (Ord's kangaroo rat)
Lineage: Eukaryota; Metazoa; Chordata; Mammalia; Rodentia; Heteromyidae
Source: Rfam